Mytilus californianus (California mussel) is the source of this 297-nucleotide long non-coding RNA. RefSeq lists it as uncharacterized. NCBI's taxonomy places the organism in Eukaryota, Metazoa, Mollusca, Bivalvia, Mytilida, Mytilidae. The record is from RefSeq and is a predicted model, not a curated record. The transcript has 2 exons.
GCUAAAAUACCUUAUUUUAGCAAUUUGAGGGUUGUAACUUGACACUAACAUAAUUGUUACAUAAAAAAAAUAAUGUAACAUGAUUUCUGACAACAAAUGUGACCAAUUUUCACUGUAAAGGGUAUGAUUUCUAAAAAUAGAAUUUCACAUGCCUGUCAGUAAUAGGUAUAAAACCACUAAUUCAUAGCCCCAUUGCUUUCUAUGUUAAAUUCUGCAAUUUCAAGCAUAAAUGGCUACUUUGUCUGAAGUUCAAAUAAAGUGGCAGUUAUUUCAUGUCAAAACUGUACCUUAUGCUGA